AAAGAAGAGGAAUUAAUUAGGCAAGCCAAACAACAACGUGCUGCAGACACUAACAGAACACAAACGUUACCUAGAGCAGAACUAAGACUGCAAAGACGCUGAUGCGAGAUGUGACCUGCCCUGAGAUGUCCCCCUCCCACUCUCUUCUGCUUGUAGGGGCACAACGCAGGGCAGAAAAUUAAGCCUCAAAACCAAAUGUUGCAGACAAAGCUAAAAACCAACCUAUGUUGCAGAAUGGCAUUGCAGUUAUCACACAGCAGAAGCAGCUGGAUAUCCUCUGCCAUAAGGCAUCCUUGUAUACAUUCUUGCAACCCCAGCCACUCGAGCAAUUAUUUGUUAAUGUACAAAACAAUGAAUUCUGGAAAUAACAGAAGAAAACACACACACAGAGAAGCAAGAACCUCAAAACUAGACGUGAAGAAUGCUCUGGGGACAUGGAAUAGCUUUGUGCCUGACUGGUCUGAUGCCGUACCCAGAGAACUAGGUGUGAGGGCACAAGAUGAACCCCAUGAAGACCUGGGCUGCCUUUUGCUUUAAAUUACAUACUGGCCAGCCCAGACACAGCAAUGGCACUAUCAGUCACAAAGCAAAGAAACAGAAGGCAGUGACAGCUUCCAACUGAAAACCAUUGCAGUUCAUCAUAUACCAUAUGAAUUUAUGGGAAGGCAAAAUAAUAAACAGUUAAUGAGCAUCAAUUACAUUAGCAUUAGGAUGGGUCACUGUGUUGUUUUGUACCCAUUACAUUUGUUAAACUCAUUGUAGAAAUGAAUUUUCAGAUACUAAUUCAAAGUUAGAUUCUGUCCCAACUAGCUAUAUUGAAUUUUAGCCCCACAAAGAUUACUUUUUAAAGCAAUGAAGUGUAUAAAAAGCUACGUGUGCUUCAAACAGAAUUGUGCCAGGGGCUCCAGUAAGAUCGUUAUUUGUAUCUUGGUCCUCAAACUCCAGUACUGAAGAUACAGUAACUGAUAUGGAAUCACACAGAGCUGGAAAGCUUGUAUCACUACGCAGUUCUGCAAAGGUCAUUACCUUUAACAUGAAGGCAGAGAGCCUACCAAAGCUACACUAGCAGGGGCAUGAGAAAGCAACUAUUCACCCCUACUUGUCAGAAAGAAAUGUUCUAUGUUUUAUUGUAGCAGUUAUUGGUUUUACACCCCUCCAUUAAAGUUUUGCCCUGAAGUAAAAAUUCUUGAGUUGGAAGUACAUUUAGCCAUUGGAAUAAAGAGACUAGGCAUCAUCUGCAGUACUACAACCUUAAGUGUUUAAAAUAAUUUACCUAAAAUACAUUUCUUCAGUUCCACUCAAGUCUUGCAAGAACAAAUGUAAUGAGGAAAUUAAGAAAGCCAGUGCUGUACUUUAGCCAACUUACAGCACUGACCUCCGAGACACUUAGAGAAGUAAGCCACAAAGGCACGCUGCUCUUGUAUGUGGCAACACCCCACUGUGCCAGCAAAGAGAGAGCAUCCUUUUUCCAUGCCCAAAAUGGUACUGAGAACUUCAAACUGCAUGUGCCCAUUUCUACUGCUAAAUUUUGCGCGACCAUUUUUAGGUUGCCAUGUCAGAUUCCCAUCCAGUUCUUGGAUUCCGUCCCACAGUGGAAGAACAGGCACGUGGCUGACACGUCUCAGGCCCACAAAAACUAAAUGAACUUUUAUUUCUCCAGCAAGAGAGCUGAGUCUGUUUCAAGAAGUUCAAACACUGAUUCCAGUCUGAUCUUGGCAUUAAGCUACAGGCGGCCCUCGAAACAAAUCACAGCUUCUUGGCACACUCAAUCCAACCAGACACCACUGCAAAAACAUUCUACAUCUGUGGUACAAACCAAAACACAAGCAGAAUGUUUUUGCAACCUGCUGCCCUUUAUCUGCUUAGAAUUUCCUUCCACAUUCUACUGAUCAAAUACAGAUUUUCACAAGCUGUAUUUGCUGAGGAUGUGACCCUAAUUCAGUCACUCAUUAUAUGAAGAUUUUAUCAGCAAUGUUAGUGUAUACAGAGCACACGCCAAGCUAAAGGGAAGGAAAGCACAAGUACAGUUUUAUACCUUUGCACCCACUCAUCUAGCACACAGUUUUGCACUAAAAUUUGUCUUUUGGCAUAUGAAGGAAAUAAGAACAAACAGUCACAUAAAAAUCUCAGCCUCGCUUAUCAGGAGAUCUGAACUCCAAAAUGCAGCAGUUGUGUGUGAAAGAAAGCACAGCAGCCUUGCACUCAGCAUCUGCCAGGCUCCACAUGGAGGUCGCAGCUCUGAGCACGUGCGUGUGGACAAGGCGGACACAUGCUCAGAGGCCUGGAACCAAAGCCUUCAGUUCUUCAUGUCCAGGCUCAUGAGGAAUGAGAUAAAUUCAGAGACCAGCCCCACAAGUGCCCUCACUUAGUUGCCAGGCCAAAAUCUGCAACUCGGAGAGGCCAGAACCUGCUGGGGACAGAGGAAGAUGUCACUGAGGGGACACCACAAGACUCAGCAAGAGAAGAAAAGGAGUAAUGUGUACGGCAAUGACUCCUGCUUUAUGAAUGUAGGUGAAGACAUAAUUUGCAGAAUAAUAGGCACUAAUAUUACACGCUGCUUCAGUUCUGUCAUACUUCCAAUCCAUCAAGUUGAUUAAUGCUAUAAUAACUCCUCACAAACUUAUCAUUUGUGCACUAAUGAAGUCAAAUCCAGUUUAUCCUCUGGCAACUAUAAUCUUCUGGUCACUAGAUGUUAGUUUCCCAGCUAAGUAAAGCUCUCCAAAGGCUACUGGAACAGAAGGAGAAAAAGACAAAACUGGGAAGAGAAAGAAAAUUAACAAAUGCUGUGUCAACUCAGUUUCAGUAGCUUUCAACACAGAACCACAUUUAUGUGUUAGAUCCCACGCAACACACACUUUUAUCAUUAACUGCUCACAGGAUAAAGUAACUGCCUGGAAGAACACCUUCCAGGAAUUGCUUCUCUUCGUAACUUAUGAAUAAGUAACCAUUAGGUUCUUCCUUCUGCCUCCAGAACCAGCAGAACCACGACUGUGUGGCGCCCAAUGGGUCUGCCUCCCAGGCACACAAUCUUUAUUGAAGAUUGCUUUCUCACCUUACUGACAUUUUUCCCAUGCUUCAGGAAUUCAAACAUUUAAUCUUUCAUAUGGAUUGUCUGCUGUUUUUCAGGACAUAUGACUGUUGCCUUCCCCUGUUUCUCUCCUUCUGUACUGCUUGUUUUUAAGCCAGUUACAGGAAACUGGCAUCUAUGGGAUCAGUUCUCCCUGUUACGUACAUCCAGAACAAGCACCAAAUUCAAUAGUUACUGGCAAGUGAGAACUAACAGCACAUGAACGCAGAAAGCAUCACCACAUAAGCCAGGUUACAGGUGCAAAGAAUUCAGCACCAUAGAGGAGUCAAACAGCAAGGGGACCACCUACAGAAAAAUCUUCUUUGGUUUUGUAAAUCACUAAAAAUAGAUGAAAAUUUCCCUAAGCUCAAUGUAUUUGUUAGUCAAAGUGUUCUGCUUAUUAACAGUUUAGCAUAAAAAUAUAGAAUACAAAGCACUACCAGGAUACUUCGGUGUCAAAUUAGACUUAGAGGGAAACUCUGAGAACUGGUGUGUUGCAUGUUCCCAGUGGAGUUGUAAUUACUCAGGUUUGCAGCUAUCUAUUAAAAGAGCUCGCUGCCUCAUCUGUCACAUAAGAGAAUGAAUUACUGAAUGUAUCAUUCUGCUCACACAAAAAGCUUCCAAAGCACAGAAUGAGACAUGACAGUCACAUAAAACUCGUUGCCACUAGAAAAGAAUAGCAUCAGGUGCAGUUUUCAGGUUUUGGAGUGAAAUGUUUUACUUGAGCUAUACCAUGGUUGGAGAUUAAAUCCAAUUAAUAUCUUGACUUCAACAUUUCCAGAUGUUACAGAGUUGUCAUUUCAAUAAUAAGAGUUUGUCAAUCUAAAUACUUUUGAGACAGCAAGAGGGACAAAUGCAUUUAAGCCAUGGGAAGAGAUCCUUGAGAGCACUGGACUUCACUACCAGCAGGAGAUGAGCAGCACACCCAAGGCUCACAUAUCUCAGCUCCAACUAGUGCUCUCAGAACAUGACAGGACAGGAUGUACUUCUCUAGGGUACCUGCACACAGUUAAUUUCAAGGUCCAAAAAUGAAAGGCUGUAAGAAAUUCCCUCAGCAAAGUCUGUGAUGAGGAAGGCAUCACUUCCCAACACUCUGCAGCACUUCAGUCCCACCAGCUCCUUGUCCAGGCUGUUCCAACAUCUUAUUAGAGUACCAAAUUAGGUCUCAACUCCUACAUUCUAAUAGCUGGGAAACUUCAUCCCAUGUCAGUGCUGCCUGGACGGAUGGGGGAACAGCCAUUUUCAUCCACUUUCCCCAAGCAGCUUCACAAUGAUGAAAGAGUUGAAAUGAAAUGAAUGGCUUACAAUUAUACCUUUAAUCCUGUUACUUAAAAAAUAAGACUGACUGUGGAAAUAAGAAGACACAAAACACUUUGCAUGUUAAAUUGUGAAAUAUGCUAAACAAGCACAUAACAUUUUCAGAAGCCUGGCAUGAAUCGCCAGUUUCGACCAUCACAGUACACGACGUGGUUUGCAGCAUGAGCUCAUUUAACACAUGUCCACAAGCCGCUCCUUCCCGAGUCUUGGGCACAGACAUGAGAAAGCUCCAGAUGCAGGCAUCUAAGUGCUCCCUCCUACAAGGGAAAUGAAGUUAUUAUCAGGUGAAAGAGUUCUGCAGGACCAUGCUCAACUUGAAAUUAAGCUGUUCCCAGCAAUUAGCACAACCAUAGAAUUUGGGUGGAGUGGGAAUGUGUUCAGAAGGCAAUGCAGACAUAAGUGAUUUUCAGCUAUAAAGCCAAAAUAUGCCUAAUCAGAGUCAAGGCUAAGGAACUAACACCAAAUGUUACUAGUCUGCAGAUUAUCUGUCAAGCACUGAAACUACAUAAAGUAAAUGAGACAAUCUCUGCCUCGAGUAUCCUGUAAACUAAAAUCUCCUGAGUUCUCAGUGUGCCAGUAAUUUAUCCCUCAACACCUUCUUUCUGCUUCCGUCAAUCAUGCACCCAAAUGACCAGCACCCUCUUUCAUGCAGACCUCUGUAUGAAAUUAUGCAAGUGAAACCAGGCCUGGGACAGAGCCAUUGCCUGCAACUGUAAGCAGGAGUUUACAGACUGUGCAGAAAAAAAAAAGCAGCUUCUCUGAAGUCGCCAGAUUUGCAUGGAUCAUUUCCCUUUCUGUUAUAUUCUUAAGCACUUUGAUAUUAAACUUGCAUAAAAAGAAGGAAAGCGAAAACAUCUGUAUUUACCAGUUUGGUUCACAUAGCAUUAAAGGCCUGUUAAAACAGCCAAGAGGCAAAAUACUCUCUACUAAAACCUAAAAAAGUUAGCAUUAAUUUUAAUCGCCGUAUUCCAAUAUUACAGCUGGAGAAAUUAACUUACGCAUUAUUUCCACACUGUUUCCUUUAGCCUCUCCCUAGGUACAGAUUUGAUUAAAUUAUAAUGAGAUACCUCAAAACUGUUUUCUCACAAGAGUAAACACUACAAAGAAAUCGAGUCCUACAUCUGGCUGCAUCCACAUCCAACAUCAUUAUUUACAAGUCUCCAAGCACCACGGAGCAAACAUCGCAACAACCAUUGGGAAGGCAUUCCUUGCCUGGCUUCCCAGGGCUGCUGCUCUGGGAGCUGUGCUCAACCCAAAGGAACCACACCGCAAGCUAACCCAUGGACACCAGGAGGAAAAAGGAUCAUUAAUAGUCUGAUGUUGAGAUGCAUCAAAAAGAAGUAGGCCAUCACUUUCUUCCCUUUUCACAAUGCAAAUGGUCACGCUUGCAGGGAACAAUAUAUUGUUUUAAAAGAAAAGGCCAGGAACUGAUGCAUUCCUAAAUCUCUGCUACAGGAAUGAAGCAUAGAAAUACAUUUUGAUUGGUCUGGUCCUGCAAACUGACAAGGGCCAAGAAGAAAUGAGAGCAUCAGCAGCUCCCUGGCAUUGCUGACAGAGAACCAAGGAGUGUUCCACAGUGCCCUGCCAAAUGAAAGCCCACUUUCACACAAGUUAAACAGGCCACAUUAAAUCAUGUAUCAAAUAAUUACAUCAUUUGCUUAAAUCUAUCCCGGACCUCCUUCUCAGAGAUAUUACAAUCCAGGUAAAUCAUAGCUGCUCAGUAAUUAUUGAUCAAGCAGACAUGCCAAUGUGAAGACUCAAUCUGAGCAGCAGUUCCCAAACUCAAGUUUCCUGCAGCAGAACACUAAAAAAGGUUGAUCAUGACAUGACUGCAGCAGCCAUCUAGGAUGAGACAAUCUGCUCCUUAACCCUCCAAGAAAGCUAUUAAUGGCGUGGAUUGAAGCAUCUGUCCAACUCCAUUACUUUGAGCUGAGUGCCCAGAGCACAGACUGUGCUGUGGCCCCCGGGUACUCGGCAUGCUCCCUGCAAGGAGGUGGCCUGGCAACUCCACGCUUGCAGAGAGGCCACUGAAACCCAGCAGAGUCAAAAUCAUAAAUACAAGCUGCUCCUAAAUCAACAUUUGGGCUCCUUCAGAAAAGCACAGAGUGCCAACUAAUGAUCUCAAUAGAUUUAUUUCUCAAGUCUCGACAAGCUGGAGCUAUUUUACUUAUUCCUGAUAUUCAGCAUAAAUGCUCCAUCUCAAAGAAACUCCGUAAUUCUUCGUUAUAGCUUUUUAUAGAUCUCUAAAUCAAUCUCUUCCCUUUGCGUUACUCAAGUCCUUUGCCCUUGCCUGAAGACAUAAAGCUCCAUGCAGAGGAGCUGCCCUGAAGAGGAGGACAGAUGUCUGACGCUCAUGAAUGUCCUAAGUGCCCUACUGGACUAUGACAAUUCUUAGCCAUGCUGACUACGUUUUUAUACUUUAAACUGGCCUUUUGGGAAGCUGUUUUAGAUCGAGAGCUCCCCAUCCGAACAAUCCAAACUCCUCCAUUCCUACAGAUGACUGGCAGACAGACCGAAAGCCACUUCUGCAAAGUGCCCCUGGGAGCUCCCUGCUUCACUCCCAGUACCUUUACUCUGACUCAAACCAGGGAUCCCACUCUUGUGUCCCACUAGAUCAGCCCUCAAUAUCCCUGAUCUUCUCCAAAUGCUUCCCCCCAUGCAUUCUUUCUGUUCAACCAGACCCAGCCCUGUGGCCUCUCACUAUGGCUGCCCUUCAUUCCCACUCUCCUAUCUCACCCAAGGAGCUGAGGGCAGCACUACCAGGAGGCAUGAGGUGAUGACAGCAGUGCUGAGAGCCUGGACCUCAGGUAGAGGCAAGAAGAGCAGAGAUCUGAGGCAGGAGAGCUGCAAGGGGCAGUAAUGCAGGCAGGUCUGGCAGUGGUGCAGCCAGCCAAGCGCUGCCACUGUUAAGGGGAAGACACUGGUGCCUCUGCUGCUGCUGUAGGGCUCACGGUCUCCAGGUCAGCCCCCAAAAGAGACAAUGGUAUUUGCAAAGCAAAUGGGACAAAAUCAAAGUAAGCAUUCCUUUUCAUUUACUAAUUUUCUUGUCAUACUUCUAGAGCAAUCCUGUUUCCUGUCAUGAGAAAAUAAGAAGAUACUACUUAGCAGAAAACAUCUAAUAGUAAAAUCCUGAUUAGAGGAAGACUGCUUUGUCUUAAUGGAGCCAGAAACAACUGUAGAGGGAUAUUCUAUUAUAAACUGUAAUUAUAUCACUUCAUAAAUACAAGAAGUAGCUAACUCAGAAUGAAAUACGUACAGUACUGUAAUUAUUACAAAAUAAAGUUAUUCCUCCUCUGGCCCAGCAAAAGAUUAGACAGGCAAUCCCUUCAAAGGACUGAUUCAAAUCAAGCUACAAAACAUACGUGCCUGAGCAAACUGGCAGGAGCCACCUAAGAGACUUGCUCGUGGCAAAAGAACAGGACUUAAAGGGAUCCCUUACAUUGGAUUACCUCCCGCUCCAAACAGGGAACUAUUUUUUCACUGUAUACAAGCACGAACUGUUCACAUUCAUACAUGCACAUUCUAAUGUACAAAACGGACACCCAGCUUACAUUCCAUGCCUCCAUGUGCAGGAGCAAUGAAGGCAGUCAGUUUUCACUCUAGAUGUUUUCUCUAAGCCAAACUGCAGCUUGUCUUAAUACAUAAAACAUGCACAUAAGAGAUUUACUUUUGCUCUGGCAUGUUACGCUGCAGGUAGACUCACUGAGAAUGUAAAAUAUCUAAAGGCAGAAGGGCAUCUGUUUUUCAAACUGCAUUCAUUUCCCUCAGCACUAAAACUGGCCAAAGGCCUUUAGACAUAACUCAGCUGCGGUAAACAGAAGAUCAAAGGACAAACAAGGAUAUUCUUUUCUCUCAUUUUGAUUGCUGGUCUGAACCUAAUGUGUGGGGAAUAGAAUGCUAAGCAUACUGAGUAAUUCAGUGAUCAAUUGAAAAACAUUUCAACAAUCUUUUCUAGGCCAUUUGAGCAGCCAACUUCUCUAAACUACCACUGUCAGAGUUUAAUAUUCUGAACCACUUGAAAGCUGGCACUCUAAUUCUUCUUGUAGCAUAAAUACCCAUUUCCUACCCUGUUAAAAUGUGAUUGAUGCUAAGCUACUCUAAACAAAUUCCCUACCAUACAUCCAAUUAAUACUUGAACAGUUCAGAAAUUGCUUAUUCAAAAUGUGGUGUAACAUGCUUGCAAUUCAUGGAACUACACAAGUAUUUAUGAUUCCCCGAGAUACAGCAUCAUUCUCUAUAUAUUUCUGAACAAGUGAAAUGUUAAAACAUCACUAGAGCAAGCAUCUGACUCCACAUAAGAGAUAUCGUUGUCAGUGUGCAGUGGAUCACUAUGGCAUGACAGCAGCAGGUUGUGCUCAGCACCUUGAGAUGCACACACGUUGCACAGAGACUGCUGAGCCUCUGCAUAUGUGCAAGCAAGCUGAGCCAGUAAGGACCACAGAGAGGAUGAGCUGGAGGUGCUGGAGCUGGUUGUCCAGAGCAGUCGCCAGCUGGGUUCUGAGCAUCCCCAGGGAUGGAGAUUCCAAAACUGCUCUGAGCAACCUGUACCAUGUUAAAUCAUAGUUCUGAGGGGGAUUUUUGUGUUUUUUUCCCCCCUCAAUCACUCUUACCAUUCCACUCACGCAUAACAAAGCACAGUAUUCACAGCCACAGGUAAGAGAAGGCUGUUAGAACAGCCAUUGUUAAGUAUGUUUUUCCUUUCAGAUACACCAUUUUUCAACCUCAAAAAUACUUUUGAGACAUUUAAACCUUCCCAGUAUCAGAAUAACAUAUUCCCUGUGUCUGUGCAACCUACAAGUGGGGGGUAUUGGCCAAGAACCUGGAUAACUUCUAGAAAAAUUUUCCAAUAUGAACAAAUUGAGCAAUUUUUCCUUUAUUUAAUUUCAGUCUUGGAGUGAUACAUAGUACAGAAGAGCUAGAAGGCCAUGACCCGCCAGCAAAGGUAUUUAUUAUUUUCAAGUCAGAUAACUGCUUUUGACACUGAUCUGCUUUUGGAAAGCAAAGGCAAGGUCAUAAUUUUGUUUUUAAAACGAUUCAGUGGUGUAGCAGAAAUGCUGAAGUCAGGGCUUGAACCACUGGUUUGAGCAUUUGGUAGAAAGGCAGGGCCAACACAGGGGAGCUCAGGUGUAAGCAAUGCCCCUGAGUAACUGAAAGGGGGGCAGCCAGGACCCACCCCUUCCCAGACCUCAUUUAAGGGUUGGCAGUGGAAGCAAGGAUUUCUUGCUGGAGAUCCCUGCCUACCUGUGGCUUUCCAAAGUUAAGUAUUUUUAUUUCUUUGUUUUUAUGUUCACAGUUGCUGCAUUUGAGCUUGUUCCAAGGAUUCAAAUUGCAAGCACUGAUAAUCAGCUGCUGCAUUUGGGUUUAUCCUCAGUGGCUGCAGCCCAGGGCUUUGCCACCCUACUAUUACUGCUGUGCUUUCCAUCACAUUAUAGUGUUACAAGUGGACAGGUCUACAACGAGGAUUGGUACUGUACCUUCAGUCAUGGAAGGUCCUGAAGCAUAGAAACACUUCUGAUGCUCUCAUCAUCCCAUAUUCAUCGUAUAACUGUCAUCACAAGAGCCUGAGGCUACUGAAAGCAACCAACCCAACGGAGAGGCAAGAAUCUGUUCAGAAACAGAGGAACAACUCGGAAUGAGAAAGGAAGGAGCCAGGCACUGCAGUAUUUCUUGCUUAUAGUUUCAAAUACGCAUAUGUAUGUGCAAUACAGUGUUUGUAAUUCCAGUAAGGAACAAGUAUUUGGUUUAAGAUACUCAAAAAGGGCCACAGAGCAGAGAAACACAGUAGAAUCGACUCCUACUCACAUUUGUGAUUAUACUUGUGUUUCACAAUGUAAGUGAAUGAAAAGCACUAAGGAGAUCAUGUUAAGUAAAUGGCAUGGAGUGAUGCUGACAGACCAUAAUCCCCAUGUCCUGAGGAAUUGGGGUGCCUGGCCUUUAGAAUGUAGGUGCUGCUGGAGCUAACACCAUGAAUCAACAAGUCCCAGCCCAAGAGCCAGGCACAACUUUAAGGAUGCCUGUGGGUCCCUGUUGCAUACCCAAAUUUGAGGUUCUUUGUUUACCACACCAGCAACAGGCAAGCAUGCUCUGAAAAACAAACCAGGACUCCUACAUCAGGGCCUCUGCAGACCCAGCUCUCGGGACAAAUGCUGGCUUCUUCCCCAACGGCCUGGCAGGAAUGGCAGUGCUAUUUCCUUGCAGUGUUUGCCCCUUGUGGGCUCACAUAGCAGGGUGAAAUGUGAUCAACACACUGACUUUAUGUGCAAUGUACUGAGCGUGUUUUGAGCUGUACAGCCAGAAACUCUCUGAGGUGCACAUUUGUUCCUUGAGAGCACUUCUGUUACAAAGUGUGACAGUUAUGCACGUUGCCGCUAUUUAGGACAAGGCCCGUGUUUGGUGCAUGCGGCCCAGUUAUGGCGAAUCGUAAGAACAAAUCAUGCAUCGUUACACUUCUCAGCUUCAUAACAGCAGCACCAUAAACACGGCGCUUGCAAAGGAACGUUAU
Coturnix japonica (Japanese quail) is the source of this 10886-nucleotide non-coding RNA. The record is from RefSeq and is a predicted model, not a curated record. NCBI's taxonomy places the organism in Eukaryota, Metazoa, Chordata, Aves, Galliformes, Phasianidae.